CAGCACCUCAAGUGGUCAGGAUGAUUAUUGGGCCUAAAGCAUCCGUAGCCGGCUCUGUAAGUUUUCGGUUAAAUCUGUACGCUCAACGUACAGGCUGCCGGGAAUACUGCAGAGCUAGGGAGUGGGAGAGGUAGACGGUACUCGGUAGGAAGGGGUAAAAUCCUUUGAUCUAUUGAUGACCACCUGUGGCGAAGGCGGUUUACCAGAACACGUCCGACGGUGAGGGAUGAAAGCUGGGGGAGCAAACCGGAUUAGAUACCCGAGUAGUCC
This 270-nucleotide ribosomal RNA is filed under the name uncultured archaeon. RNAcentral's name for it is "partial 16S ribosomal RNA". It matches the Rfam family "Archaeal small subunit ribosomal RNA", at positions 477 to 747 of the family's 1478-position model. The record is from RNAcentral.